Long non-coding RNA from Epinephelus moara (kelp grouper), 358 nucleotides. RefSeq lists it as uncharacterized. The record is from RefSeq and is a predicted model, not a curated record. Lineage: Eukaryota; Metazoa; Chordata; Actinopteri; Perciformes; Serranidae. The transcript has 3 exons.
CACUGUAAGGUUCUUACCAUAGAGUUGGAGGCAGGUUGAACCAGUGAGAGCUCCGUCAGGGUAGGUGUUAAACAAACAGUGAUAGCAUCCUUCAUCUUCCUCCGUCACCCUCCUGAUAACGAUGGAGCUGUUCUGCAGUCCAGCAUAUUUAAACUCCACUUUGUCUCUAAAGUCAGGAUUCACUUUCUCACCAAAGUAUGCAGUGUAAGUAGCAAUAUUCUGCUCCUUGUCAGGUAAAAUUUUCUGCCAUGUGACUUGAAGAACAUCUUUAGGUUGCAUCAGCUGACAGUUUAAAAGAGCCUCUUCUCCCACUGCUGCCAUCACAGUCUGCUGAGUCUCUAUCACAGCUGCUAGACCU